The sequence is a ribosomal RNA, 688 nucleotides long. It matches the Rfam family "Bacterial large subunit ribosomal RNA", at positions 1 to 684 of the family's 2925-position model.
AUGGAUAAGUUAGAAAGGGCGCACGGUGAAUGCCUUGGCACUAGGAGCCGAUGAAGGACGCGACGAACAGCGAUAUGCUUCGGGGAGCUGUAAGUAAGCUUUGAUCCGGAGAUUUCCGAAUGGGGGAACCCACCAUCCGUAAUGGGAUGGUACUCCUGCCUGAACACAUAGGGCAGGGUGAGGCAGACCCGGGGAACUGAAACAUCUAAGUACCCGGAGGAAGAGAAAGCAAAUGCGAUUUCCUGAGUAGCGGCGAGCGAAACGGAAUCAGCCCAAACCAAGAGGCUUGCCUCUUGGGGUUGUAGGACACUCUAUACGGAGUUACAAAGAAACGGAGUAGGUGAAUUGUCUGGAAAGACAAGCCGAAGAAGGUAACAGCCCUGUAGCUGAAACUUCGUUUCCUCCAGAGUGGAUCCUGAGUACGGCGGGACACGUGAAACCCCGUCGGAAUCCGGGAGGACCAUCUCCCAAGGCUAAAUACUCCCUAGUGACCGAUAGUGAACCAGUACCGUGAGGGAAAGGUGAAAAGCACCCCGGAAGGGGAGUGAAAGAGAUCCUGAAACCGUGUGCCUACAACUAGUCAGAGCCCGUUAACGGGUGAUGGCGUGCCUUUUGUAGAAUGAACCGGCGAGUUACGAUAACGUGCAAGGUUAAGCUGAUGAGGCGGAGCCGUAGCGAAAGCGAGUCU